RNAcentral lists this ribosomal RNA (253 nucleotides) under uncultured bacterium. RNAcentral's name for it is "partial 16S ribosomal RNA". It matches the Rfam family "Bacterial small subunit ribosomal RNA", at positions 524 to 776 of the family's 1533-position model. The record is from RNAcentral.
UACGGAGGGUGCGAGCGUUGUCCGGAAUCACUGGGCGUAAAGCGCGCGUAGGCGGUUCGUUAAGUGGGAUGUGAAAUCCCCGGGCUUAACCUGGGAAUUGCAUUUCAAACUGGCCGACUAGAGUACGGUAGAGGGAGGUAGAAUUUCCUGUGUAGCGGUGAAAUGCGUAGAUAUAGGAAGGAAUGCCAGUGGCGAAGGCGGCCUCCUGGAUCGAUACUGACGCUGAGGCGCGAAAGCGUGGGGAGCAAACAGG